Molecule: ribosomal RNA, 133 nt
Filed under: Danio rerio (zebrafish)
Lineage: Eukaryota; Metazoa; Chordata; Actinopteri; Cypriniformes; Danionidae
Source: RNAcentral
UCAAGUUGCCUUAAAACAUGGUAAAACUAGCUCUUUACAACUCUUGCAUGGUCGCCCACUGAAGCAAAGUAGGACUGCAUCCGGUCAGUACCUGGAUAGGAGACCACAUGGGAAAGCUAGAUUGCUGCUGGAA